AUUGAACGCUGGCGGCAGGCCUAACACAUGCAAGUCGAGCGGAUGAAGGGAGCUUGCUCCUGGAUUCCGCGGCGGACGGGUGAGUAAUGCCUAGGAAUCUGCCUGGUAGUGGGGGAUAACGUCCGGAAACGGGCGCUAAUACCGCAUACGUCCUGAGGGAGAAAGUGGGGGAUCUUCGGACCUCACGCUAUCAGAUGAGCCUAGGUCGGAUUAGCUAGUUGGUGGGGUAAAGGCCUACCAAGGCGACGAUCCGUAACUGGUCUGAGAGGAUGAUCAGUCACACUGGAACUGAGACACGGUCCAGACUCCUACGGGAGGCAGCAGUGGGGAAUAUUGGACAAAGGGCGAAAGCCUGAUCCAGCCAUGCCGCGUGUGUGAAGAAGGUCUUCGGAUUGUAAAGCACUUUAAGUUGGGAGGAAGGGCAGUAAGUUAAUACCUUGCUGUUUUGACGUUACCAACAGAAUAAGCACCGGCUAACUUCGUG
Molecule: ribosomal RNA, 484 nt
Filed under: uncultured bacterium
Lineage: Bacteria
Description: partial 16S ribosomal RNA
Rfam family: Bacterial small subunit ribosomal RNA
Source: RNAcentral